UACGUAGGGUGCAAGCGUUAUUCGGAAUUACUGGGCGUAAAGCGUGCGCAGGCGGUGAUGUAAGUCAGUUGUGAAAUCCCCGGGCUCAACCUGGGAACUGCAUCUGUGACUGCAUCGCUGGAGUGCGGCAGAGGGGGAUGGAAUUCCGCGUGUAGCAGUGAAAUGCGUAGAUAUGCGGAGGAACACCGAUGGCGAAGGCAAUCCCCUGGGCCUGCACUGACGCUCAUGCACGAAAGCGUGGGGAGCAAACAGG
Molecule: ribosomal RNA, 253 nt
Filed under: uncultured bacterium
Lineage: Bacteria
Description: partial 16S ribosomal RNA
Rfam family: Bacterial small subunit ribosomal RNA
Source: RNAcentral